RNAcentral lists this ribosomal RNA (442 nucleotides) under uncultured bacterium. Its description in RNAcentral is "partial 16S ribosomal RNA". It matches the Rfam family "Bacterial small subunit ribosomal RNA", at positions 338 to 795 of the family's 1533-position model. The record is from RNAcentral.
CCUACGGGAGGCAGCAGUAGGGAAUCUUUCACAAUGGGCGAAAGCCUGAUGGAGCAACGCCGCGUGCAGGAUGAAGGCCUUCGGGUUGUAAACUGCUUUUAUAAGCGUGAAAUAUGAUGGUAACUUAUGAAUAAGGAUCGGCUAACUACGUGCCAGCAGCCGCGGUCAUACGUAGGAUCCGAGCAUUAUCCGGAGUGACUGGGUGUAAAGAGUUGCGUAGGUGGCAUAAUAAGUAGCUAGUGAAAUCUGGUGGCUCAACCAUUCAGACUAUUAGCUAAACUGUUAAGCUCGAGACCGUUAGGGGUAACUGGAAUUUCUAGUGUAGGAGUGAAAUCCGUAGAUAUUAGAAGGAACACCAAUAGCGUAGGCAGGUUGCUGGGACGGUUCUGACACUAAGGCACGAAAGCGUAGGGAGCAAACGGGAUUAGAUACCCGUGUAGUC